RNAcentral lists this long non-coding RNA (1841 nucleotides) under Nicotiana tabacum (common tobacco). Its description in RNAcentral is "long non-coding RNA (NTAB_LNC016377)". Lineage: Eukaryota; Viridiplantae; Streptophyta; Magnoliopsida; Solanales; Solanaceae. The record is from RNAcentral.
GUGAAGCCACAAAAAGCUAUUGAAACGCUCAGCAAAGGAAGAGUAUAUUUUCAAUCCUUCAUUAAAUUACCACAUAUAUCAACUGGUACAUGACAUUACAUGUGCAUUUACAAUGUCAGCUUGGUUGAAAACAUUUAUUGUACUCCACAAAUGUUGUCUAUCUGCUAAUGAUAAAAGAGGUAAUCUGCCUAUUGUAAAGUUUCUCGUUCUUGCAAUGGAAGAAACAUCUCUGAGAAUAACUCCUAUUAUUAUCUCGCUCUCUGGAUUGGUCCGGAGCGGUAUUAUUUGCUAACUUACAUUGAGUCCAUCUACAUCCCGCUCCUACUUUUGACCAGCUCGCUAAAAGAUGGUUGACAGAAGCCUUGAUUGAGGAAAAGAUCAGUGACUUUCUGAUUCAUUGCUUCUGUAAGAUGGAUACCAUCCCAGCUGAUAAAUUUGCUAGGAUUGUUGCAGCUGACAGUACCAGGUGAGCCACACAACGAAUGCAAGUUGAAGUUGAGUGGUCCUCCUGUAGCUCCACAGCAAGGUUUGAAGGCUUCCUCAAAUUGGUACUUCUUUAAGUUCAUCAUAAUUGUUAGAUAUGCAUUCCAGUAAUCAGCAUAUAAGAUAUGACAAUUAGGAUUUAAUCUACGGAAUCUUUCCAAUCUCCUUUGCAGGAUCUGGUUGUGGACCAUUACUGCUGUGUUGACAGCUGCUGCACAUCCCAUAUGAUCAAGUGCAGCUUUCAGUGGACAUAAUGAGAUAUGUAGUGGGAGGCAUCCUAUUGGUGGUAAGCCUUGAACUACGAUGUACUUUGCUCCGCUUCCCAGCAAUGCCUAUACAUAUUAACACUGUCUACUUAGCAUUGCUGUGAUGUCAGAUAUCUGUGCUGCUAUUAUUCUUUAAAAAAUGCUUAUUUUGGAAAGUUAAGGUGUUUGGUCAAGCUUAUGAGAAAAAAUGCUUUUGAGUAGUACCAGAAAUUGUUUUCUGCUGCGGGGAAGAAACAAGUAGUUUUGUCUUGAACAUUAAAAACAUAAGUUGAUUUUUUAAUUUUUCUUAAGGACAAAAAUACCUUUACCAUACGUCUCAUGUCGAGGACAAUAUACUUGCUAUCCUUAGCUUAGCUACUGUAUUACUUAUAUACUUUGAUGUUUGGAAUUGUAGUGACCUGAUGAUAGGAGUAGUUAUAUUGUAUACUUAGCUUAGACUCCUAGUGUAGCUGAAUUUUGGAGGUAAAUGGUCUGCAUUUACCUGGCUUUGUAAAGAUAUUUUCUGAUUAAUAGAAAGUCUGUUUAAUCAAAAAAAAAAAAAAAAAAACCUUUACCAUAAAUUUAUAUUUACUAUCUCCAUAAUACAAACAAAAUCUAACCUCAUACGUUUCCAACAAUACAUAUAUGACCAAAAUCUCAUGAACUUGUUCCUUCUCUAUGUGAUUUUAAUUAAAUGAAAUAAUUUUUUUAAUUAAAGUCUCUCAUAAUAAACAUUUUAAAUCAUUCAUCUAUUAUAUUAAUAGUAAUUGUAAAGUGAAUCUUAGCUUUAUCACUUUGUAAUUUCACACUCAAAAUCACUUUUGUAAAGAUUGGCCAAAACAAAUUGUUCUUAUAAAGCGCAUUUCAAAUGAUUUGGCCAAACACAAACUACUACUUUUUCUAAAACAGCAUUUGACAAAAAGCACCUUUCAAAAUGAGCAGAUUUGAAAGUUUGACCAAACAGACUUUAAUACGAAUGCAUAAGUAGUACUAUGUCAAAGCUUUAAGUGAAACACUUUUCAUGUGCAUACCUCGAUUAGUUUGCUAACUUGAUCGACAGACUGUUGUGUGAGCCAACGUGUAGGUAAAGAGGACCCUUGUAUACGAGCGUAG